ACCAAUUGCGAAGGCAGCUUUCUGGAUCAUUACUGACACUGAGGAACGAAAGCAUGGGUAGCGAAGAGGAUUAGAUACCCUCGUAGUCCAUGCCGUAAACGAUGUGUGUUAGACGUUGGAAAUUUAUUUUCAGUGUCGCAGUGAAAGCGAUAAACACACCGCCUGGGGAGUACGACCGCAAGGUUAAAACUCAAAUGAAUUGACGGGGACCCGCACAAGUAGUGGAGCAUGUGGUUUAAUUCGAAGAUACGCGCAGAACCUUACCAACACUUGACAUGUUCGUCGCGACUCUGAGAGAUCAGAGUUUUCGGUGCGGCCGGACGAAACACAGGUGCUGCAUGGCUGUCGUCAGCUCGUGUCGUGAGAUGUUGGGUUAAGUCCCGCAACGAGCGCAACCCUCACUUUUAGUUGCCAUCAUUAAGUUGGGCACUCUGAAAGAACUGCCAGUGAUAAGCUGGAGGAAGGUGGGGAUGACGUCAAGUCCUCAUGGCCCUUACGUGUUGGGCUACACACGUGCUACAAUGGUAUCUACAACAGGAAGCAAGACUGCGAGGUCAAGCAAAUCCUUAAAAGAUACCUCAGUUCGGAUUGCACUCUGCAACUCGAGUGCAUGAAGCUGGAAUUACUAGUAAUCGUGGAUCAGCGUGCCACGGUGAAUGCGUUCCCGGGUCUUGUACACACCGCCCGU
RNAcentral lists this ribosomal RNA (688 nucleotides) under uncultured bacterium. RNAcentral describes it as "bacterial SSU rRNA". It matches the Rfam family "Bacterial small subunit ribosomal RNA", at positions 708 to 1397 of the family's 1533-position model. The record is from RNAcentral.